Camellia sinensis is the source of this 585-nucleotide non-coding RNA. The record is from RefSeq and is a predicted model, not a curated record. NCBI's taxonomy places the organism in Eukaryota, Viridiplantae, Streptophyta, Magnoliopsida, Ericales, Theaceae.
UUUCUGAUCCUUCCGUGUAAUAUUGGCAUGGAGAAACAGGGCAGUAGUACAGCCUCAGAGUCAUCACCAAGUCGGGAGGUUUCUCCAUUAGAUGGCGUAAUUGAAGAUAUGCAGUCAAGGAUCAAGAGACUCGAACGGUGGCAUACAAUCAAUACAGUGCUAUGGACAUUUCUUAUGUCUGCCCUUGUCGGUUAUUCUCUCUAUCAAAGAAAACACAAGUGAUGCUUUUUUAUUUCGGUGAAUUUUCUCAAAGAAUUCUUACCUUUUUGUAUUUAUAUAAAUAUAAAAACUCUGCUAAAUGUAUCAUGCGAACUCUUAAUCUCCGUCCUGAGCCUUUCAAAGUAAAACUAGUGGAUAUACUAGGCUUAACCAAUCCCAGCCUUUAUUUUGCCCCCCAUGGCCAAUUGAUGUACAUCACAUUUCAGUUUCAAUUUUUCACAUUCUGAAGUUUAUUUCGCGCAGUUUUGCUUUUGUUGGGCACAUGUAGCACCGCAAUGUAAAUGUUGUUUUAAAGAAAAUGAGAACUUAAUUUGAGACUUAAUUGUUGUGCAAGGUGAGCUUGCAAGCAAUCUUGCAAUCUGAUUA